Molecule: ribosomal RNA, 333 nt
Filed under: uncultured bacterium
Lineage: Bacteria
Description: bacterial SSU rRNA
Rfam family: Bacterial small subunit ribosomal RNA
Source: RNAcentral
AGAGUUCGAUUAUGGCUCAGGACGAACGCUGGCGGCGCGCCUAACACAUGCAAGUCGAACGGAGUCAAGAGGAGCUUGCUUUUCUUGACUUAGUGGCGAACGGGUGAGUAACGCGUGAGUAACCUGCCCUGGAGUGGGGGACAACAGUUGGAAACGACUGCUAAUACCGCAUAAGCCCACGGAUCCGCAUGGAUCUGCGGGAAAAGGAUUUAUUCGCUUCAGGAUGGACUCGCGUCCAAUUAGCUAGUUGGUGAGGUAACGGCCCACCAAGGCGACGAUUGGUAGCCGGACUGAGAGGUUGAACGGCCACAUUGGGACUGAGACACGGCCCAG